UAGCUGCGGUUUGGUGUAUUGGGAAUGACCACCACUCUGCGUCGGGUGCCGAAGGGAAACCCGUGUAACCCCGCCGCCUGGGGAAGUACGGUCGCAAGGCUGAAACUUAAAGGAAUUGGCGGGGGAGCACCACAACGGCGUGGAGCCUGCGGUUUAAUUGGAUUCAACGCCGGAAAUCUCACCGGGGACGACAGCUGAAUGAUGGCCAGGUUGAAGACUUUGCUUGACUAGCUGAG
RNAcentral lists this ribosomal RNA (236 nucleotides) under uncultured archaeon. RNAcentral describes it as "partial 16S ribosomal RNA". It matches the Rfam family "Archaeal small subunit ribosomal RNA", at positions 752 to 984 of the family's 1478-position model. The record is from RNAcentral.